Non-coding RNA from Oryzias latipes (Japanese medaka), 889 nucleotides. The record is from RefSeq and is a predicted model, not a curated record. Lineage: Eukaryota; Metazoa; Chordata; Actinopteri; Beloniformes; Adrianichthyidae.
GGGGGGGGGGGGGGUUGGGUUGGAUUAAUGACAACCUGCUUUGACCCGUCAUCUCUAGGAGGAGAAUCGGGAGGAGAGAGGAAUGGACGCUGACAGGAGCAACAAAAGAACGGAGAAAGUUUGGAUUGACAGGGAAAGUGAAAAAGAUGAGUUGGAAUAAAGUGAAUGGAUGGAGGAUGACAGCUGGACCUUCACCUGAGCGUUUCCAUCAGUGGACAUGCGGCCGUCCACCCGUUCUGAUGAUCAGGUUCUGGGCCCGUCUACUCGCCGUGGUGCGCCUGCUGGAACCUCCAGAGUGACACCUGAAGGGGGACAUCUACAAUAGCAGUGGUUACGCAGAAGCCUCCAUGCCGCUGGGACGGACAUGUGGGACGCAGGUCGGGCCUCCAAGCCUGCUGGUGUUCGGCGCUGUUUCACCGGGCUUUUACAGAAUAACGGCCCGGAUCUAGAGGAGCUCUCAGUUCUGGAGGAUUUACCAGGGAUCCAGUUCCUGAAACCUGACAGUUGGAAUCUGCUCCUGGAAUGUACUGAUGGGUUUUCUGGAAGCUUUCAGGAUGUUCUGCUGGACAUUUGGUGGCGCCGCUCUCCUCUUUCCCCACUAUAGUCAUAUGCCAAAGGGUCACAGUAUUAUGACAGCAUUAUUUCAAUGACAGGGCGCACAGACAUCCCUAAUCAAAGCCUUUUUUUACUCUUAGCACUGAAAGAGAAGUUGGGCCUUCUACAGAGAAGAAAAACAACAUAAACAGCUCACUGUCAGAGUCUUGUCUCAGCAUCAGUAAUAAAAGAGAAACUGUCAAACAGUGAACUCCUGCGGCACUUUAGUCAUGAGUUUGUUCUCAUUUCAUCUCUCUUCAUUUUCUCCAACAAAUAAUAUAUUCUCCAGUAUCUU